RNAcentral lists this non-coding RNA (27 nucleotides) under Homo sapiens (human). Lineage: Eukaryota; Metazoa; Chordata; Mammalia; Primates; Hominidae. The record is from RNAcentral.
GAGCCUAAAGAGCCUCAAGGUGGAGUG